RNAcentral lists this ribosomal RNA (873 nucleotides) under uncultured beta proteobacterium. RNAcentral's name for it is "bacterial SSU rRNA". It matches the Rfam family "Bacterial small subunit ribosomal RNA", at positions 8 to 867 of the family's 1533-position model. The record is from RNAcentral. Lineage: Bacteria; Pseudomonadati; Pseudomonadota; Betaproteobacteria.
AGGGUUUGAUCCUGGCUCAGAUUGAACGCUGGCGGCAUGCCUUACACAUGCAAGUCGAACGGCAGCACGGGGGCAACCCUGGUGGCGAGUGGCGAACGGGUGAGUAAUAUAUCGGAACGUGUCCUGUAGCGGGGGAUAACCUAUCGAAAGAUGGACUAAUACCGCAUACGACCUACGGGUGAAAGCGGAGGACUCUCGGGCAACUGAGGGCUUCGCACUAUAGGAGCGGCCGAUAUCGGAUUAGCUAGUUGGUGAGGUAAAAGCUCACCAAGGCGACGAUCCGUAGCUGGUCUGAGAGGACGACCAGCCACACUGGAACUGAGACACGGUCCAGACUCCUACGGGAGGCAGCAGUGGGGAAUUUUGGACAAUGGGCGCAAGCCUGAUCCAGCCAUGCCGCGUGAGUGAAGAAGGCCUUCGGGUUGUAAAGCUCUUUCGGCGGGGACGAAAUGGUUCGUGCUAAUACCACGGACUGAUGACGGUACCCGCAGAAGAAGCACCGGCUAACUACGUGCCAGCAGCCGCGGUAAUACGUAGGGUGCAGGCGUUAAUCGGAAUUACUGGGCGUAAAGCGUGCGCAGGCGGUUUGUUAAGACAGAUGUGAAAUCCCCGGGCUUAACCUGGGAACUGCGUUUGUAACUGGCAGACUGGAGUGUGGCAGAGGGGGGUGGAAUUCCAAGUGUAGCAGUGAAAUGCGUAGAUAUUUGGAGGAACACCGAUGGCGAAGGCAGCCCCCUGGGCUAACACUGACGCUCAUGCACGAAAGCGUGGGGAGCAAACAGGAUUAGAUACCCUGGUAGUCCACGCCCUAAACUACGUCAACUGGUUGUCGGGGAAGCAAUUCCUUGGUAACGAAGCUAACGCGUGAAGUUG